GCCUCCGUAGCUCAGUGGGCAGAGCACUGGUCUUGUAAACCAGGGGUCGGGAGUUCGAUUCUCUCUGGAGGCU
Non-coding RNA from Procambarus clarkii (red swamp crayfish), 73 nucleotides. NCBI's taxonomy places the organism in Eukaryota, Metazoa, Arthropoda, Malacostraca, Decapoda, Cambaridae. The record is from the annotation of a RefSeq genome assembly.